CUAGCAGUAUCAAAGUGCUCAUAGUGCAGGUAGCUUGGCAUUGGACCUACUGUAAUGUGGGCACUUACAGUACUGUUAGAUAAAG
Molecule: microRNA precursor, 85 nt
Organism: Coturnix japonica (Japanese quail)
Lineage: Eukaryota; Metazoa; Chordata; Aves; Galliformes; Phasianidae
Gene: MIR20B
Product: microRNA 20b
Source: Ensembl